GGUGCAGACGGCUUUUUAAGUCGGUUGUGAAAUCUCCCGACUUAAUUGGGAGAAGUCAUUCGAUACUAUUAAGCUAGAGGACGGUAUAGGAAAGCGGAACUCCCGGUGUAGCGGUGAUAUGCGUAGAUAUCGGGAGGAACACCAGUGGCGAAGGCGGCUUUCUGGGCCGUUCCUGACGUUAAGACCCAAAAGCGUGGGGAGCAAAACGGAUUAGAUACCCGUGUAGUCCACGCCCUAAACAUUGGACACUAGGUAUAGGGGGUAUCGACCCUCUCUGUGCCCGAAGCUAACGCUUUAAGUGUCCCGCCUGGGGACUACGGCCGCAAGGUUAAA
Molecule: ribosomal RNA, 333 nt
Filed under: uncultured bacterium
Lineage: Bacteria
Description: bacterial SSU rRNA
Rfam family: Bacterial small subunit ribosomal RNA
Source: RNAcentral